RNAcentral lists this ribosomal RNA (253 nucleotides) under uncultured bacterium. RNAcentral's name for it is "partial 16S ribosomal RNA". It matches the Rfam family "Bacterial small subunit ribosomal RNA", at positions 524 to 776 of the family's 1533-position model. The record is from RNAcentral.
AACGUAGGAUGCGAGCGUUAUCCGGAGUGACUGGGCGUAAAGCGCGUGUAGGCGGUCAGGCAAGCUGGGUGUGAAAGCGCCAGGCUCAACCUGGCGAGGCCAUCCAGGCCUGCGUGGCUGGAGGCCGGUAGAGGAGUGCUGAAUUCCGGGUGUAGCGGUGAAAUGUGUAGAGAUCCGGAGGAACACCAGUGGUGCAGACGGCGCUCUGGGCCGGACCUGACGCUGAGUCGCGAAAGCGUGGGGAGCGAACGGG